RNAcentral lists this ribosomal RNA (466 nucleotides) under uncultured bacterium. RNAcentral's name for it is "bacterial SSU rRNA". It matches the Rfam family "Bacterial small subunit ribosomal RNA", at positions 355 to 825 of the family's 1533-position model. The record is from RNAcentral.
UAAGGAAUAUUGGUCAAUGGAGGCAACUCUGAACCAGCCAUGCCGCGUGCAGGAAGAAGGCCCUAUGGGUCGUAAACUGCUUUUGAACAAGAGAAAACCCCGGUACGUGUACUGGGUUGAUAGUAUUGUUAGAAUAAGCAUCGGCUAACUUCGUGCCAGCAGCCGCGGUAAGACGAAGGAUGCAAGCGUUAUCCGGAUUCAUUGGGUUUAAAGGGUGCGUAGGCGGACUGAUAAGUCAGUGGUGAAAUCUCUCGGCUUAACCGAGAAACUGCCAUUGAUACUGUUAGUCUAGAGUACAGAUGAUGUGGCGGAAUAUGACAUGUAGUGGUGAAAUACUUAGAUAUGUCAUAGAACACCGAUUGCGAAGGCAGCUCACAAAACUGUAACUGACGCUGAGGCACGAAAGUGCGGGGAUCAAACAGGAUUAGAUACCCUUGUAGUCCCUGAGCGGGCUGGCAAGGCGCAU